Molecule: ribosomal RNA, 253 nt
Filed under: uncultured bacterium
Lineage: Bacteria
Description: partial 16S ribosomal RNA
Rfam family: Bacterial small subunit ribosomal RNA
Source: RNAcentral
UACGUAGGGUGCGAGCGUUAAUCGGAAUUACUGGGCGUAAAGCGUGCGCAGGCGGUGAUGUAAGACAGAUGUGAAAUCCCCGGGCUCAACCUGGGAACUGCAUUUGUGACUGCAUCGCUGGAGUGCGGCAGAGGGGGAUGGAAUUCCGCGUGUAGCAGUGAAAUGCGUAGAUAUGCGGAGGAACACCGAUGACGAAGGCAAUCCCCUGGGCCUGCACUGACGCUCAUGCACGAAAGCGUGGGGAGCAAACAGG